GCGGGUGUAGUUCAAUGGUAGAACUUCAGCCUUCCAAGCUGACUAUGGGGGUUCGAUUCCCCCCACCCGCUCCA
This 74-nucleotide transfer RNA is filed under the name Verrucomicrobiota bacterium. RNAcentral describes it as "Verrucomicrobia bacterium tRNA-Gly". It matches the Rfam family "tRNA". From Rfam's summary of the family: Transfer RNA (tRNA) molecules are approximately 80 nucleotides in length. Their secondary structure includes four short double-helical elements and three loops (D, anti-codon, and T loops). The record is from RNAcentral. Lineage: Bacteria; Pseudomonadati; Verrucomicrobiota.